ACCAUUUUCUCCAUUUUCACAUAACUUCAAAACCACAAAACUUUCAUUUAGUGCUCUCUUGUUCACGGCAGCCCUCACCCACACUAAACCCACCAUCAAUCUCCACUAAAUCACCUUAAAUUCCACAUUUUCUAAGUGUUUCAAGAACAUCUUUACAUGGGUUAAGCAUGGAUCAUCUUUAGGAGCACUUUUGGAGCCAAAUCUUUUUCUUAUUUUCUUAUUUAGCUUGUGCCAUAUUGUUAUUGACACGUACGGACGCUCACUUCGAUAUCAUAUUACACAGAACGCAAAUUUCAAGGAAUGACCCCAACGUUGUGGCAGGACGUGGUGACCAACGUGAUUGACCGAGUAAAUAAUCUACCGAGCAACCCAAGGUGA
This 378-nucleotide long non-coding RNA is filed under the name Helianthus annuus (common sunflower). RNAcentral's name for it is "sRNA HanXRQr2_Chr11g0514951". Lineage: Eukaryota; Viridiplantae; Streptophyta; Magnoliopsida; Asterales; Asteraceae. The record is from RNAcentral.